UCUGGUGGCGAUGCGCUUAGGGGAAACACCCGUUCCCAUCCCGAACACGACGGUUAAGACCUAAGCGGCCGAUGGUACUGCACUGGAGACGGUGUGGAAGAGCAGGUGGCCGCCAGAUU
RNAcentral lists this ribosomal RNA (119 nucleotides) under Clostridium sp. A254.MGS-251. The record is from RNAcentral. Lineage: Bacteria; Bacillati; Bacillota; Clostridia; Eubacteriales; Clostridiaceae.